CAUAUCAAUAAGCGGAGGAAAAGAAACCAACAGGGGAUUGCCCUAGUAACGGCGAGUGAAGCGGCAACAGCUCAAAUUUGAAAUCUGGCGUCUUUGGCGUCCGAGUUGUAAUUUGCAGAGGGCGCUUUGGCAUUGGCAGCGGUCCAAGUUCCUUGGAACAGGACGUCACAGAGGGUGAGAAUCCCGUACGUGGUCGCUAGCCUUUACCGUGUAAAGCCCCUUCGACGAGUCGAGUUGUUUGGGAAUGCAGCUCUAAAUGGGAGGUAAAUUUCUUCUAAAGCUAAAUACUGGCCAGAGACCGAUAGCGCACAAGUAGAGUGAUCGAAAGAUGAAAAGCACUUUGGAAAGAGAGUUAAAAAGCACGUGAAAUUGUUGAAAGGGAAGCGCUUGCAGCCAGACUUGCCUGUAGUUGCUCAUCCGGGUUUCUACCCGGUGCACUCUUCUAUAGGCAGGCCAGCAUCAGUUUGGGCGGUUGGAUAAAGGUCUCUGUCAUGUACCUCUCUUCGGGGAGAACUUAUAGGGGAGACGACAUGCAACCAGCCUGGACUGAGGUCCGCGCAUCUGCUAGGAUGCUGGCGUAAUGGCUGUAAGCGGCCCGUCUUGAAACACGGACCAAGGAGUCUAACAUCUAUGCGAGUGUUUGGGUGUCAAGCCCGAGCGCGUAAUGAAAGUGAACGGAGGUGGGAACCUUUCGGGGUGCACCAUCGACCGAUCCUGAUGUCUUCGGAUGGAUUUGAGUAAGAGCAUAGCUGUUGGGACCCGAAAGAUGGUGAACUAUGCUUGAAUAGGGUGAAGCCAGAGGAAACUCUGGUGGAGGCUCGCAGCGGUUCUGACGUGCAAAUCGAUCGUCAAAUUUGGGCAUAGGGGCGAAAGACUAAUCGAACUAUCUAGUAG
RNAcentral lists this small RNA (894 nucleotides) under Didymella glomerata. RNAcentral's name for it is "eukaryotic LSU rRNA". It matches the Rfam family "Eukaryotic large subunit ribosomal RNA", at positions 39 to 950 of the family's 3401-position model. Lineage: Eukaryota; Fungi; Ascomycota; Dothideomycetes; Pleosporales; Didymellaceae. The record is from RNAcentral.